UGGGGAAUUUUGGACAAUGGGGGCAACCCUGAUCCAGCAAUGCCGCGUGUGUGAAGAAGGCCUUCGGGUUGUAAAGCACUUUUGUCCGGAAAGAAAACGUCGUGGUUAAUACCCGUGGCGGCUGACGGUACCGGAAGAAUAAGCACCGGCUAACUACGUGCCAGCAGCCGCGGUAAUACGUAGGGUGCAAGCGUUAAUCGGAAUUACUGGGCGUAAAGCGUGCGCAGGCGGUCCGCUAAGACAGAUGUGAAAUCCCCGGGCUUAACCUGGGAACUGCAUUUGUGACUGGCGGGCUAGAGUAUGGCAGAGGGGGGUUAGAAUUCCACAUGUAGCAGUGAAAUGCGUAGAGAUGUGGAGGAAUACCGAUGGCGAAGGCAGCCCCCUGGGCCAAUACUGACGCUCAUGCACGAAAGCGUGGGGGAGCAAACAGGAUUAGAUACCCUGGUAGUCCACGCCCUAAACGAUGUNAACUAGUUGUCGGGUCUUCAUUGACUUGGUAACGUAGCUAACGCGUGAAGUUGACCGCCUGGGGAGU
Molecule: ribosomal RNA, 535 nt
Filed under: uncultured bacterium
Lineage: Bacteria
Description: partial 16S ribosomal RNA
Rfam family: Bacterial small subunit ribosomal RNA
Source: RNAcentral